CCGGCGACCGGCGCACGGUGAGUAACACGUAUGCAACCUGCCCUCUUCAGGGGGACGAACCUUCCGAAAGGGAGGCUAAUCCCGCGUAUAUCGGUUUCGGGCAUCCGAGAUCGAGGAAAGAUUCAUCGGAAGAGGAUGGGCAUGCGGCGCAUUAGCUAGACGGCGGGGUAACGGCUCACCGUGGCGACGAUGCGUAGGGGUUCUGAGAGGAAGGUCCCCCACACUGGUACUGAGACACGGACCAGACUCCUACGGAAGGCAGCAG
RNAcentral lists this ribosomal RNA (265 nucleotides) under uncultured bacterium. Its description in RNAcentral is "partial 16S ribosomal RNA". It matches the Rfam family "Bacterial small subunit ribosomal RNA", at positions 88 to 354 of the family's 1533-position model. The record is from RNAcentral.